Long non-coding RNA from Parus major (Great Tit), 1802 nucleotides. RefSeq lists it as uncharacterized. The transcript is spliced from 3 exons. The record is from RefSeq and is a predicted model, not a curated record. Lineage: Eukaryota; Metazoa; Chordata; Aves; Passeriformes; Paridae.
UCUCAGGGGACCUCCUUUACAAAUCCGAGCAGGAAAUGACACUUGCACACCAGGACAUCAUCAUUAAUCCACUGUGCUAGAUGUUGUAGGAUACUCACUCUCCCGAUAGAAACUGAAACUCCUGCAGCUCCCUCCUAAUGCUUCUUAGAUUGUAUCUGAAUUGUGGGACAGGCACAUACCACAGUCCACCCUGGUCACUGUGGACAAUCAGUCAUUCAGAUCAGGGCAUUGACUGGAGCAGACUGUGUGCUCAGCAGUAUAAUUUCAGAGGCUGUGGGAGGUUAGUGCAAAGAGACACAAUGACUGAUCUAAAUCAUCCUCUAUAAUUCAUCUUCGUCAAGUCUCAUUUGUUCUUUCUCUGUCGCCUUUACUGGUGUUCCCCGCAUAGCUUCAAAAUGGUUAACAGAAGACAGAGUGAAAAAAGUGAAGAUUUUGAUAAUAGAACUUGCCCAGAAAACAGAAAUUUAAGGAUAGUGAAAAGUCAGAUCUGUGAUGUACCUACACCUACAGUUUUGCUACUCUUGACUGCAGUGCCAACAGAGAUUUUCCUUCACCUUUGCCCAGGAUGUGUAAUAAAGAAGACUGCUUUUUCUUUUUGUAUUAACAUUAAAGCUGGACAAUAUUGCCCCUUAUGCACAAUAUAGGCCAUGCAUAAAAUAACCUAAUGCACUAUAAAUUUCCUAGAUGAAAUUUAAAGCAUAAGGAAGUGUUCAAUAAAAUUUUAAUGACAUUCUAAGCAUUAAGCAGAUUCAGAAUAGACUUCAAAAUUCAACCUAGCUUUUUUCUUCAAGUGCAGCAGUGGAAAGAAGAAAUUCUUUACUUUUUUGGUAUCUUUAUCUGCUUGCAUAAAUGAGGGACUCUUGUACAGGAUCUGUUAUAAGACUAUGCAAAACUAGUUAUUACUUUUCUGAAGAAAAAUAUGAAUAUCCCAUGAAGCUGCUAUUUUGUAAAGCCUAUCAUGUAGCAUCUAACAAAUAGCCUUGAGGGGCUUCAUAAUUACUGACAGGGAUAUUAGAACUGACAGAUUUCAGGUGUAUUCUAGAGAAUAAAAAGGAAAUAUUAUAGGCUUGGUUAAUGAUUUCUCAUUUAUAUUUACACAUCUGACAAAUAAAGCAACUACUGUCUUACAAGAAAGAUCUGGUUUUGCUACCUUUCAAAUGAAGAUGGAUAGUUCAAACUAUUUUGUUUUCUCUGCUAACAGGAGGGUACCUGAAAUCCUGCAGAGAGAGGCUUGAAAGUCUUAUAAAGCUAUUCCUUAAGAGGUUUCCAAUGUAUUUGCUGAGAUACAUUUCUAACUAAUGGUUGACAUAAUGUUAAGAUAAAACAACUAAUCAUUUUAUGUACCCUUUUUUAGCAAUUAAUGUAAACCAGUUUUUCUGUCCCACACAAUUUUCUUGAAUUUCACAGGAAGAAAAUCAUUACAUAUGCAAAGUUAAUAACAUUAAUAGCAAAAGCAUACAAAAAGAGAAGGUGUUUCAUCCACAAAAAGAGGUUCACUCUUGGGAACAAAAUAACCAGGUUGGUGAACACCACCCAAAACUCACAGCUACAUGGCUUUCCUAGACAAAGAUAAUGUGGUGACUGUUCCUACCCACUGCCCACAUGGCUGCUGGGAACAAAGGCAAGAUGGAGACUAGCAUUUCCCAGCUCCAGCCUGAAAUAACAAAAAUCUGUGACAAACAUAUCCCCAAACCUACACUGGUUGUGCCAGGUUGUGUCUCUGCUGAGCUCAGUUGCUAUUUUCAGACUUGGGAUAGCCUCAUCUAGAUAGUUUUCAGGAUAAUUCUGGAAAUUAUACCAUA